This 1855-nucleotide long non-coding RNA is filed under the name Sus scrofa (pig). RNAcentral describes it as "lncRNA (ENSSSCG00025032240.1)". Lineage: Eukaryota; Metazoa; Chordata; Mammalia; Artiodactyla; Suidae. The record is from RNAcentral.
CUGAAGCCUGAGGAGUUCAAGGUCAUAUGACAGGGCUGUUACCUCAAGAAGAAGGUCCCAUCUGUUUCCUGGAAUGUGUCUACACUGCUGCUCUCGUCAACUGGCUGCAAAUACGCUCGUGGAAAACAACCUGAUGUAAUUUCUGCCCAGUCAGCUUCAUCUCUCAGUAUAGUUGUAAAUCACCCCAGAUUCUACAGCCGCACCUGAAGACAUGCUCUCACACAUAGAUGUACACAAACACACCCUCAUACCCAUUUCAGCUGGCAUCUGUCAUGAUUCCUGUCAAGAGGGCUUUCGUUGUCUGACUCAUAAUUGUUUAGGAUAAACGAUCAAGAGAAAGGAUUAACUAGACAGUGAUGGGUUUUCAGCACUUGCUGUUGUGGAAAUCUCCUUUAAAGUCUUGAGUACAUGCUAAUCAAUAAUCCUCACUCAUGCAUUUCUACUGCUUGGAGUAGCUGUACUGGUAAAUACUACUGUAGGAGUAUAUGCUUGUUAAAAUGGAAAAAAAAAUGUGUCUUUAGAACUCAGUAUUCUUUAUUUUAUGAACACAACACGUGUAGUAACUUUUUCCCAGCAUAUAGUAGGCACAUUCAAGGUGAUUCAAGAUGGCUCUUUUUUCUGUGGAGGGAGCCUGUUCUCAGUAAAGAUGAGCAAACAUUUGGAAUUUACAUGUGGGCAGACACUGGAUUACAGCUUUCAUCACCAAUCAUUGGACUUUUGCAAAGUCGAGACCAGCUAAGGCUGCUUAAAACAAGUUCUGAUCAUUAUAUAAGAAGGAAAAUGCCUGACAGACACCAUGCUUCCUCUGUCCACUGGAGUCUGCUUUGCAGCAGGUCAGAUGUGCCCAGGAAAUAACGCUCUGCAGGAGCACAGGGACAGGCUUCCAACAAUCACCGGAGCAGCCGAUCCUCAGGUGGGAUAAUUUUGAUGUUGGUGCUGUACACUGCUACACCAAAUCCCGCAGUAGUAAUUUCAUGGAGCACACUUUAAAUUUCUUCCCUUCUCUGUCUCACUUCUUCACUCCAUUAUUGAUUCCUCCUAUAAUCACCUCCAGUAUAAACUACUUUGAUUCUAAUCUUUGUCUCAGAAGAUGCUUCUGGGAAAUCCAUAUUAAGGAAAAAGUAGAUUUCACAACUUCUGUUUGAUUGUGAUAUUUGCUCUUGAUGGUAAAUGUAAAAUAAUCUUUCUAUGAAUGUAGAUUUUGAAAUUGUGUUGAGGUUUAAAGUGCAAUCAUUUUAUGUGUAUAGUUCAACAGGUUUAUAUAUAACUGUAACCGCCACCAUUGCAAUCAAGAUAAAGAACAUCUCCAUCACCCUAAAAAAUUCCUUCAGACCUAUUUGCAGUAAAUUCUCCACCAAGCUCAGUCUACCCUCAAUAUAGAUUUGGUUUUCCUCUAGAAUUUCACAUAGAAGAAAUCUUUUUUUUUUUUUUUUGUCUGGCUUCCUUUGCUCUGCAUUGUAUUUUUGAGAUUUAUUUUUUACUGUGCUCUAUGAAUCAGUAGUUUUUAAUUGCCAAGUAAUAAUCCCAUUGCAAAGAAGCACUACAUUUUGUUUAUCGCUUCACACUUGGGUUGGUUCCAGUUUUUGGCUAUUAUAAAAAAAAGUGCUUUGAACACUUGUGCACAAGCCUUCAUGUGGACCUGUUUUCACUGCUGUUGGUAAAUACCUGAGUGGAAUUGCUAGGUUGGAUGAUAAAGUUACGACUACCUUUAAGAAAAAAAUCAAACAUGUUACAAAAGUAGCUUUAUAUAUUUUACACAUCCACCAAAAGUCUGUGAGAAUUAAAGUUAGAAUACUCAACACUAAGUAUUGUCAGUCUUAAUCUUAGCAACUCUAGUGGGUAUGUAAUAGUAUCU